AUUGGACGCUGGCGGCAUGCCUUACACAUGCAAGUCGAACGGCAGCACGGGUGCUUGCCCCUGGUGGCGAGUGGCGAACGGGUGAGUAAUACAUCGGAACAUGUCCUGUAGUGGGGGAUAGCCCGGCGAAAGCCGGAUUAAUACCGCAUACGAUCUACGGAUGAAAGCGGGGGACUUUCGGGCCUCGCGCUAUAGGGUUGGCCGAUGGCUGAUUAGCUAGUUGGUGGGGUAAAGGCCUACCAAGGCGACGAUCAGUAGCUGGUCUGAGAGGACGACCAGCCACACUGGGACUGAGACACGGCCCAGACUCCUACGGGAGGCAGCAGUGGGGAAUUUUGGACAAUGGGCGAAAGCCUGAUCCAGCAAUGCCGCGUGUGUGAAGAAGGCCUUCGGGUUGUAAAGCACUUUUGUCCGGAAAGAAAUCCUUGGCCCUAAUACGGUCGGGGGAUGACGGUACCGGAAGAAUAAGCACCGGCUAACUACGUG
This 486-nucleotide ribosomal RNA is filed under the name uncultured bacterium. RNAcentral's name for it is "partial 16S ribosomal RNA". It matches the Rfam family "Bacterial small subunit ribosomal RNA", at positions 30 to 507 of the family's 1533-position model. The record is from RNAcentral.